This 460-nucleotide ribosomal RNA is filed under the name uncultured bacterium. Its description in RNAcentral is "partial 16S ribosomal RNA". It matches the Rfam family "Bacterial small subunit ribosomal RNA", at positions 29 to 523 of the family's 1533-position model. The record is from RNAcentral.
AAUGAACGCUGGCGGCAUGCCUAACACAUGCAAGUCGAACGAAGGCCCGAUUUCGGUUGGGUCCUUAGUGGCGCACGGGUGCGUAACGCGUGGGAAUCUGCCCCUCGGUUCGGAAUAACAGUUAGAAAUGACUGCUAAUACCGGAUGAUGACGUAAGUCCAAAGAUUUAUCGCCGAGGGAUGAGCCCGCGUAGGAUUAGCUAGUUGGUGUGGUAAGAGCGCACCAAGGCGACGAUCCUUAGCUGGUCUGAGAGGAGGAUCAGCCACACUGGGACUGAGACACGGCCCAGACUCCUACGGGAGGCAGCAGUGGGGAAUAUUGGACAAUGGGCGAAAGCCUGAUCCAGCAAUGCCGCGUGAGUGAUGAAGGCCUUAGGGUUGUAAAGCUCUUUUACCCGGGAUGAUAAUGACAGUACCGGGAGAAUAAGCUCCGGCUAACUCCGUGCCAGCAGCCGCCGUAA